This 326-nucleotide ribosomal RNA is filed under the name uncultured eukaryote. RNAcentral describes it as "partial 18S ribosomal RNA". It matches the Rfam family "Eukaryotic small subunit ribosomal RNA", at positions 1470 to 1796 of the family's 1831-position model. The record is from RNAcentral.
CCCUUAGAUGUUCUGGGCUGCACGCGCGCUACACUGGUGCGUUCAGCGAGUUUAGCACCUUAACAGAUAUGUUUGGGUAAUCUUCUGAAAACGCACCGUGAUGGGGAUCGAUUAUUGUAAUUAUUAAUCGUCAACGAGGAAUUCCUAGUAAGUGUGAAUCAUCAGUUCGCGCUGAUUACGUCCCUGCCCUUUGUACACACCGCCCGUCGCUGCUACCGAUUGAGUGGUCCGGUGAAUUAUUCGGACUGACGCAGUGCUCAGCUUCUGGACGUUGCGUCGGAAAGUUUCAUGAACCUUAUCACUUAGAGGAAGGAGAAGUCGUAACA